RNAcentral lists this ribosomal RNA (381 nucleotides) under uncultured eukaryote. Its description in RNAcentral is "SSU rRNA". It matches the Rfam family "Eukaryotic small subunit ribosomal RNA", at positions 587 to 972 of the family's 1831-position model. The record is from RNAcentral.
AGCUCCAAUAGCGUAUAUUAAAGUUGUUGCGGUUAAAAAGCUCGUAGUUGGAUUUCUGUCGAGGACGGCCCGUCCGCCUUUUGGGCGUGUAUGUGGUUCGUGCUUGGCAUCCUCUUGGGAGACGUUUCUGUGCUUCAUUGCAUGGGACGGAAUUCAAGACUUUUACUUUGAGGAAAUUAGAGUGUUCACGGCAAGCUAUCGCUUUGAAUACAUUAGCAUGGAAUAAUAAUAUAGGGCGUAAGUUCUAUUUUGUUGGUUUCUAGGACAUACGCAAUGAUUAAUAGGGACAAUUGGGGGCAUUCGUAUUAACGCGUCAGAGGUGGAAUUCUUAGAUUGCGUUACGACGAACUACUGCGAAAGCAUUUGCCAAGGAUGUUUUCA